This 565-nucleotide ribosomal RNA is filed under the name uncultured Bifidobacterium sp. RNAcentral describes it as "bacterial SSU rRNA". It matches the Rfam family "Bacterial small subunit ribosomal RNA", at positions 146 to 710 of the family's 1533-position model. The record is from RNAcentral. Lineage: Bacteria; Bacillati; Actinomycetota; Actinomycetes; Bifidobacteriales; Bifidobacteriaceae.
UCUCCUGGAAACGGGUGGUAAUGCCGGAUGUUCCACAUGAGCGCAUGCGAGUGUGGGAAAGGCUUUUUGCGGCAUGGGAUGGGGUCGCGUCCUAUCAGCUUGUUGGUGGGGUAACGGCCUACCAAGGCGUUGACGGGUAGCCGGCCUGAGAGGGCGACCGGCCACAUUGGGACUGAGAUACGGCCCAGACUCCUACGGGAGGCAGCAGUGGGGAAUAUUGCACAAUGGGCGCAAGCCUGAUGCAGCGACGCCGCGUGCGGGAUGGAGGCCUUCGGGUUGUAAACCGCUUUUGUUCAAGGGCAAGGCACGGUUUCGGCCGUGUUGAGUGGAUUGUUCGAAUAAGCACCGGCUAACUACGUGCCAGCAGCCGCGGUAAUACGUAGGGUGCAAGCGUUAUCCGGAUUUAUUGGGCGUAAAGGGCUCGUAGGCGGGUUCGUCGCGUCCGCGCGUGAAAGUCCAUCGCUUAACGGGUGGAUCCGCGCCGGGUACGGGCGGGCUUGAGUGCGGUAGGGAGACUGGUAAUUCCCGGUUGUAACGGUGGAAUGUGUAGAUAUCGGAAGACACC